RNAcentral lists this transfer RNA (97 nucleotides) under Streptomyces longispororuber. RNAcentral describes it as "tRNA-Pro". The record is from RNAcentral. Lineage: Bacteria; Bacillati; Actinomycetota; Actinomycetes; Kitasatosporales; Streptomycetaceae.
GGCUGCGGGGCCGACGGCACGGGUGCCGGGGCCAGUUCGGGCUGGGCGGCCACCGGGGCGGGCGGCAGCACCGCGGGCUCGAUGCCCGCCGCCGCCA